Molecule: transfer RNA, 73 nt
Filed under: Ictidomys tridecemlineatus (thirteen-lined ground squirrel)
Lineage: Eukaryota; Metazoa; Chordata; Mammalia; Rodentia; Sciuridae
Description: Spermophilus tridecemlineatus (thirteen-lined ground squirrel) tRNA
Rfam family: tRNA
About the family: Transfer RNA (tRNA) molecules are approximately 80 nucleotides in length. Their secondary structure includes four short double-helical elements and three loops (D, anti-codon, and T loops).
Source: Rfam by way of RNAcentral
GGGGAUAUAGCUCAGUUGGUAGAGUGCUUGCCUUGUAUGCAUAAGGCCCUAGGUUCAAUUCCUAGCAACAACA